AUGGCAUCUCUCCCUGUUCCGAGUGUGCAGGCCAUGGUGGCGGCCACCGGCGGAGCCGACGUGCCGCCAAGGUAUCUCCGGCCGGCAGAGCCGGUCGCUGGCGACAGCGAGGCCCAGAUCCCCAUCAUCGACUACCAGAUGCUCUGUAACCACAGCGUCCCAGACGAUGUGGUAGAGGGAAUGAAGGCCAGCAUCCAGCAGUUCUUUCAGUUACCCAUGGAGACGAAGAAACAGUUUGCUCAGGAGCGAGGGCAGCUGGAAGGCUACGGUCAACUAUUCGUUUUCUCCGAGGAUCAGAAGCUGGAUUGGGCUGACAUACUUUACCUCCACACGCAGCCACAUGAGAGCAGGAACACCAAGCUCUGGCCAGACCAGCCUGCCAACUUCAGAUCAACGCUGGAUAGAUAUUCUGAUGCUGUGAAGGACGUAUCAGACUCGCUUUUGGCCACAAUGGCGAAGAACUUGGGACUGGAAAGAGAAGUGAUCACUGGCAAAUGCAUCCAUGGAAUGCAGUCUGUCAGAAUGAACUACUACCCCCCAUGUGCCCAAGCAGAGAAAGUCGUUGGCUUAUCCCCGCAUUCUGAUGCUGGUCUCCUAACCCUCGUCCUCCGAGUGAAUCAUGUCCAGGGCCUGCAGAUCAAGAGGAACGGCAGCUGGCUUCCUGUCAAGCUUGUCUCGGGCGCUUUCAUCGUCAACAUCGGAGAUAUGCUUGAGGUCUUCACAAACGGGAGGUACAAGAGCAUCGAGCACCGGGCGGUUGUCCACCCGAAGGAGGAACGGCUGUCGGUCGCAGCGUUCCACUUACCAAACAUCCACGCCAUUAUAAGUCCGCUGAAGGAGAUGGCGGCACAUGAAGACGAUGCCUACAGGACGUUGGACCAUGAGAGCUUCAUGAAGCUUUUCUACGCAACGAACCUCGAGGGGAAGAGCUUCUUGGAGCGGCUGAAGCUAAACUAG
This 957-nucleotide ribosomal RNA is filed under the name Triticum aestivum (bread wheat). RNAcentral describes it as "partial small subunit ribosomal RNA". Lineage: Eukaryota; Viridiplantae; Streptophyta; Magnoliopsida; Poales; Poaceae. The record is from RNAcentral.